GAUGAACGCUGGCGGCGUGCUUAAUACAUGCAAGUCGAACGAAUGGAUGUCUAGCUUGCUAGACUGAAGUUAGUGGCGAACGGGUGAGUAAUACAUAGGCAAUCUGCCCUGAAGUGUGGGAUAGCUAUUGGAAACGAUAAUUAAUACCGCAUAAGACCUACGGGUGAAAGCGGGGGACCUUCGGGCCUCGCGCAGUUGGAGCGGCCGAUGACUGAUUAGCUAGUUGGUGGGGUAAAGGCCUACCAAGGCGACGAUCAGUAGCUGGUCUGAGAGGACGACCAGCCACAUUGGGACUGAGACACGGCCCAAACUCCUACGGGAGGCAGCAGUGGGGAAUUUUGGACAAUGGGGGCAACCCUGAUCCAGCCAUGCCGCGUGCAGGAAGAAGGCCUUCGGGUUGUAAACUGCUUUUGUCAGGAACGAAACGGAAACGGGUAACAUACGUUUCUAAUGACGGUACCUGAAGAAUAAGCACCGGCUAACUACGUG
RNAcentral lists this ribosomal RNA (489 nucleotides) under uncultured bacterium. Its description in RNAcentral is "bacterial SSU rRNA". It matches the Rfam family "Bacterial small subunit ribosomal RNA", at positions 28 to 507 of the family's 1533-position model. The record is from RNAcentral.